AGAGCGAACGCUGGCGGCAGGCCUAACACAUGCAAGUCGAGCGCCCGUAGCAAUACGGGAGCGGCAGACGGGAUAGUAACACGUGGGAACGCGCCCUUCGGUUCGGAAUAACUCAGGGAAACUUGAGCUAAUACCGAAUACGCCCUUACGGGGAAAGAUUUAUUGCCGAAGGAACGGCCCGCGUCCGAUUAGCUAGUUGGUGAGGUAAUGGCUCACCAAGGCUACGAUCGGUAGCUGGUCUGAGAGGAUGACCAGCAUCACUGGGACUGAGACACGGCCCAGACUCCUACGGGAGGCAGCAGUGGGGAAUAUGGACAAUGGGCGCAAGCCUGAUCCAGCCAUGCCGCGUGGAUGAUGAAGGCCUUAGGGUUGUAAAGUCCUUUAACGGGGAAGAUAAUGACGGUACCGUAGAAUAAGCCCGGACUAACUCGUGCCAGCAGCCG
RNAcentral lists this ribosomal RNA (443 nucleotides) under uncultured bacterium. RNAcentral describes it as "SSU rRNA". It matches the Rfam family "Bacterial small subunit ribosomal RNA", at positions 26 to 517 of the family's 1533-position model. The record is from RNAcentral.